Molecule: transfer RNA, 75 nt
Filed under: Candidatus Aenigmatarchaeota archaeon
Lineage: Archaea; Nanobdellati; Candidatus Aenigmatarchaeota
Description: tRNA-Lys
Rfam family: tRNA
About the family: Transfer RNA (tRNA) molecules are approximately 80 nucleotides in length. Their secondary structure includes four short double-helical elements and three loops (D, anti-codon, and T loops).
Source: RNAcentral
GGGCCUGUAGCUCAGUCUGUUCAGAGCACCCGGCUCUUAACCGGGGCGUCGCGGGUUCGAAUCCCUCCAGGCCCA